This 507-nucleotide ribosomal RNA is filed under the name uncultured bacterium. RNAcentral's name for it is "partial 16S ribosomal RNA". It matches the Rfam family "Bacterial small subunit ribosomal RNA", at positions 28 to 506 of the family's 1533-position model. The record is from RNAcentral.
GACGAACGCUGGCGGCGUGCCUAAUACAUGCAAGUCGAGCGCAGGAAGUCAUCCGAACCCUUCGGGGGGACGUUGACGGAAUGAGCGGCGGACGGGUGAGUAACACGUAAAGAACCUGCCCUCAGGUCUGGGAUAACCACGAGAAAUCGGGGCUAAUACCGGAUGGGUCAUCGGACCGCAUGGUCCGAGGAUGAAAGGCGCUCCGGCGUCGCCUGGGGAUGGCUUUGCGGUGCAUUAGCUAGUUGGUGGGGUAAUGGCCCACCAAGGCGACGAUGCAUAGCCGACCUGAGAGGGUGAUCGGCCACACUGGGACUGAGACACGGCCCAGACUCCUACGGGAGGCAGCAGUAGGGAAUCUUCCACAAUGGACGAAAGUCUGAUGGAGCAACGCCGCGUGAACGAUGAAGGCCCUCGGGUCGUAAAGUUCUGUUGUAAGGGAAGAACAAGUGCCGCAGGCAAUGGCGGCACCUGGACGGUACCUUGCGAGAAAACCACGGCUAACUACGU